UAUAGAUAGACAUCACUUUGAUAGUUUACUGAAAGGAAUAGCGUUGCUUUUAAACGGUAAGUGCAUAAUAUCUAUAACAUCGCACGUCUGUGAUUCGAAAAUCGAUUAUGAUUCGGUGACGCGAUAAUCGAUUAAGUGAUCGAAUUAAUAAUAAUAAUUGUCUCGUUUCGUAGCAGUCGCGGCGUGCUUUGCGGGGAAAAUUCAGAUAACGGUUUGUGCCACACCCUGCACGUUUUGUUUAUUUACAAAGAAAAAAUUUGCUAAAUUUGCAAUUUUUGUUACAAAAUCGGAUAUAUGUUUUGGUAGAAGAAAUUUUUCUUGUUUUGUUUUUCGUAAUUUUGAAGGCGAAAAUGAUCAUAUAUCGGUAUAGACCGUGAUGUGUUGCGAACUAAACGGUAUUCAUCUUACAGUAAGCAUAAACACACACACAACCUGGUGUUUUAAACAAUUCACACGUCCCAAAAAAACAAUUUUAAACUAUUUUAUUUUAGUUUUAUGCCAGUUUUGGUCGAGAAAAAUUACAAACAAUGCGUAUUUGUUUCGAUCGCGUAUCAAAUUAACACGUGAAAAAAAAAAACAUCCACAAGUCUUGUAAUCUGGAGAGAAUCGCACGAGAUUACAAGACUUUUUAACGAGAAAAAUUUGAUUCUCGUUUAACGUGACGAACAGAUCGUGACAAUCGUCCAUCUGCCGUUAAAUUUUAAUACAUACUAAACACGUAGCGUGAGUUGACUAUCAGUCUUCCAUUUUUAAAUAUUUUGGGAAAAAAGAAAAAAAUUUUUUUUUUAAGUAAGACUUGACACAGUUUCACGUUCCGGUCAACAUUUGACUAAUAUGGAAGCGAACGAAAUAUAUCUAUAGUUAAAUUCGUUCGGUUUACCAUGUAUUCUUUUUUUUUAUUCAUUGAAGUUAACAAGAUUAUCGCACAAGUUGAUGAACUGUAUAGAACGUUCUGCACACUCAUCUUGGCGGUAUUUGUCUGACAGCAGAAUCUAAUAAUAGUAAAGUUGACUUUUAUACCUUCGUCAAAACAGUCUGAUUGGUGGUUUAAAUUUCUUAACUACUUGGUUAAAACUGUUACGCAAUUUGAAUCCGAUCGAUACGCCAUCCAUCGACGAAAUUUAAUACCCGUGCACGGCGAUGACGUAAUCGGUCUGUCGUGAAAUAAUCUUUUGCUGUAAUUUUUAAACUUUAAUUAUUAAAUUUUUUUUUUGGAUAAAUUAGUUUUGUACGUAGUUUGUCGUAUAAAAAAAAGUUUUCAAAAUUUUAGCAAUUUUAACUCCGUAUAUACGUAAUGAUGGCUUCUAUAAAUUUAAUCACGCGAUAUACGUUGAUGAUACGAGACUUCCUGAUAGACAUAAGAUACUGUGCGAUCGUAAUAAGUGGACUUCCCUCCAUAUAAACAGGGAAGAAGAAUAAGUGGGCUUGUUACGAUCAUACAGUUGUAAAAAUUGUAAUAACCGGUUUAUUUUUAUUAAAAUUCCCCGCCAAAAUUAUAUUUAUUCCAUAAUAGUAAUUGUUUAUUUGUAAACAGAACCGAUUAUAUCGGAAGAGGAAGUCAAACCUGCAGCAUUGUAAAACGGUAACUGCCGUUUCUACGAAUUUAAAACUGGUAGAUUAAUUUUUCAGAAUAGGCUGUAAAUAAACAGGAAUUCUCUGGAGGAAACCUGGGCCUAAUACGGAAUAGAUUGAGUUCUCAAAUAACUCUCUAAGAUUUGAAGUUUUGGCGAAUGAAGAAAAUUGUAAAGUCUAACUACAGUAUCUUCAACUUGAUCAUGUAUUCGCCUUGACCUUGCGCUAACUUCUGUGGUUGGCGUGUUGCAUCAAUCGGCGGUUAUUUUCAUCAGACUGAGAAAGAAGGGAAGGCCUACGCGUGUUAGUCAUCUACAACAGAAGAAUGGACCGUUAAUUUUAGAACCAAUUAGCAUCCCUGAUGAUUAUAAAACAAGGAAAGAGAUAAUUCCAAAAUCGAUCUUUCUGCUCUUAUUUAAUUCAUUAAACAUUAGUUCGAUCGUAUAACCUGUAAGUCGAUUCACUGAAGUAGUUUUUAGCGAAUUUUAAAUUACGUAAUUCCUACGCCACCUUUCGAUUCAAAUACAGAAUAUUAGCAGCAUGUUUUUUU
Molecule: long non-coding RNA, 2122 nt
Filed under: Androctonus crassicauda
Lineage: Eukaryota; Metazoa; Arthropoda; Arachnida; Scorpiones; Buthidae
Source: RNAcentral